AUUGAACGCUGGCGGCAGGCCUAACACAUGCAAGUCGAGCGAGCGGCGGACGGGUGAGUAAUGUCUGGGAAACUGCCUGCUGGAGGGGGAUAACUACUGGAAACGGUAGCUAAUACCACAUCCCCUCUGAUGUGCCCCGAUGGGAUUAGCUAGUAGGUGGGGUAAUGGCUCACCUAGGCGACGUACCCUACCUGGUCUGAGAGGAUGACCAGCCACACUGGAACUGAGAAACGGUCCAGACUCCUACGGGAGGCAGCAGUGGGGAAUAUUGCACAAUGGGCGCAAGCCGGAUGCAGCCAGGCCGCGGAUGUGAAGAAGGCCUUCGGGUUGUAAAGCACGUUCAGCGGGGAGGCGUUACCCGCAGAGGAAGCACCGGCUAACUCCGUGCCAGCAGCCGCGGUAAUUC
This 406-nucleotide ribosomal RNA is filed under the name uncultured bacterium. RNAcentral describes it as "partial 16S ribosomal RNA". It matches the Rfam family "Bacterial small subunit ribosomal RNA", at positions 30 to 526 of the family's 1533-position model. The record is from RNAcentral.